UUGUCUCUUAAAGAAAAAAAACAAAAGGGAAAAUAACGAUUCGGGGUUACGCCCGAAUCCUCACUGCUAACGUGAGACUAAUUUUUGAGCAGGUAAAGGCUGCCCCUAAGGUGACCCACCUACUUUGUGGGAUGCCUGGGAGUCACGAUCUGCCCG
This 156-nucleotide small nuclear RNA is filed under the name Carlito syrichta (Philippine tarsier). Its description in RNAcentral is "U12 minor spliceosomal RNA (ENSTSYG00000029765.1)". It matches the Rfam family "U12 minor spliceosomal RNA". Rfam says of the family: Although the U12 sequence is very divergent from that of U2, the two are functionally analogous. The record is from Rfam by way of RNAcentral. Lineage: Eukaryota; Metazoa; Chordata; Mammalia; Primates; Tarsiidae.